GAAACCUAUUUUAAAAUGUAUUUAAUGUUGAGGGAAGCAGGGGAGGAUUGUACUUUUUGUAGUGAGAUUUCUGUCACCAGCCAGAACCGAUCAAACUUCCAAAGGGAAUACAGCGGCCUUGAGAAGAAGAGCUAGCUUGCUGAGACUGCGCCAGCUUGCUGCAGCCCCUGAAGCCGGUACUGGGACUUCCCAUGCCAGCAUCAAAUCUCAUUCAGACCAGCAAAAAGUGGCUGAAGCAAUUUCAAGUUUGUGUUGGUGGCAACCAGACCUCCAAAGAAGUUGACAGCUACAGUUUUAGGUCUCCAACUCUAUGCCAGUGGACCCCCUAAAAUUAUCAAAGAGCAGAGGUCGAAGAAGGGCAGAGGCUUUGAAAGCAUCCGACCAGCAUGAGCGCUCAAACUGAAAACCCAGCCUCACUGACGUGGCAGGAGGGAGAGUCCCAGCUGGAAAUACGUGCUGCAGCCGUCCAUCCGAGGGGACCUUACACAUGCAGAUGCUGCCCGCUGGCCAUGGCUUUCAGGGAUGUGAAUUCAAGAAGACAUAUAGGACUUCAGCAGCUCUCAUCCUUGGCAUCAGCUGGAAGAACGUUAUUGGGGCCAGUGAAAUCCUGUAAAUUCAUUGUGGAUGAAAGCACCAACCAAAGCAUGUUGAUUUGUUCUGCUGUCAGACUGAUAGAAAGUUUGGAUUUAACUAGUGCUGCCGGACAGCUUCUUAACGAAACCAUUCAGGCGCAAAACAAGGAGUUUAAAACUGGGAUGAGCACCCUGUUGUUUCUUGUUGGUGCAUGGAGCAAUGCCAUCCUGGAAUGCCUCCAGCAGAACGUUCCUGUUUCAGCAAUAGUGUCGGUGAUGUCUGAGGGGUUGAACUCCUGCUGUGAGAAAGUCCAGUGUCUUCAAAUAUCAGUACAUGAUGUAAAUAAAGAGCUGUGUUCUAGCAGUGUUAGGCCAAACACUUCUAACAGCAAAACUUACGAGAUUGCAUGUGACAGUUUUCUAAAUCCUCAGAUUUUUCUGUGCUUUCAGAAGGAAGUUUCUCCAUCAAAAGAACUUGUUCCAAGAAAUUCUUGUUCCCAUCAAGAAGCUGACAGUAAUUUUAACAAGGGCCUGGUUUCACCUUUGGCUGGCUUUGGAUCAAUAGCUUCCCCUGUCAGAUCAGCAGAUGCUAACAAUGCAUCUGUGAUUUCUGGAAGUGGUGUUACUGCAUCCAGCUGCAAACAAAAAAGAUUAACCCAUAGCAGAUACUUCAGUGCUCUAGCGACAAGCCCUUUCUCGAGUCAGCUCGAUGAUUCUCGGGUAUGCCUCUCAGGACAGUCAGCACAUCCAUGUGAAUGUUACGGUUUAGGACACCUGGCAAGAGCUCUGAGCCAUGGAAAUGAGCCUAACACGAAAUUGCUUAAAAGCAUCGUUGCGUAUCAACACAAGAGAGCAGAAUGUAGUGGCUCUUCCCAAUUCAAUAUUGCAGAAAUUGUGACAUGCUGUUUACCUGGUCUGCCUGAAAGCUAUUCUUGUGUUUGCCCGGGUUUUGUCACUUUAGUAUCACCAGAACAAGCCACAGUUAUCAAACGCUUUCGAGACAAACCCCUUCGGAUUCUGCUGAUGGAUGGUGACCUAACUGAAGAGUAUCGUCACCUAGGUUUUACUAAGCCACGUAACGUAAGGACCGUGUUGGAGCGUCCUGACCUACAGGAAGGCAGACCAGGAGACUUGUGGCUAAAUACUACGUUAGAUAUUCUAAUACGCUCUGAAGUGAACUUAGUUUUGGUCAAAGGGAACGUGUGCGAGAACCUAAUGGAAAGGUGCAUGGCGAACAAGAUUCUGGUGAUCGGUUCCGUGGCUCAGAAGGUGCUGUGUGCCUUCGGGGAGGUCAGCGGAGCCCGGCCCGUGACAUACCUCACCCAGCGGAGCGCCUCCUGCACGGGGAGCGGCGCCCAGCUGGAUCUGUGGACGGCCAGCGACGGGCGUACGAUGGACCUGGGUGAGCUGGUGCCCGUCAGGAUAAAGGUGCGAGGGAUCGCCCUGCUCACGGCCGUGCUUACUACUGCCGUGCCUGCAAAGAUGCAGCUUGUCGAAGACCGGUUCUGGACUUUUGUGUACCGACUGCAUCACGCUCUCAGUGACGGGAAGGUUUUCCUCGGUGGGGGCGCAGUUGAGCUCUUAUGCCUUAGUCACAGUCAGGCGCUGGCAGAGCAGUCUUUAAAGCUAGCAAAUAAAAAGCCUGUGAAAGAAUUUCACGGCCCUUGGCUGGCAGCAUCUUCGGCAGAGUAUAAAUCAGUUGUGCUUCAGGCGUUAGCAAGUGGCUGGAGCCAGUACCUCUCAGCGGUUAUGUGCAACACUGCAAAAGCAGCAUCGCUUUUUGAAGCAUGGACCUUAAUUGAGCAUCACCUCAAAAAAGCAACUGACUGUGGCUCUCCCUCAGCAUAUGUACUGAAAGAGUUUCGAAUGGGUGGUAUGUUCCGAGGUGGUCCUGUUCCCUUCACAGGCAGUGCAGAGGGUUUUAGGGUUUAUGAUAACGUUACAGCCAAGACAGAGGCGUGGCGCAGAGCUCUAGACCUGGUGCUGCUGGUGCUUCAAACAGAUGCUGAAAUUAUCUCGGGUCCCCAAAGUAAUCAGCUGUUAAAUUCACAUGCCUCAAGUGAAUUUAUGUUUUUGUAGGACUUGUAGGAUGUUUUUUUGUUGUUGUUUUGUUUUGUUUUUUAACAAGUCCAUGAGUCGGUGAGUGGAAGAAGUCCAGGUACGAUCUACAUUUCUUCAUCAAGUCAUAGAGCAAGCAUUUAGGUGUGGUUAUGACUUGAGCGUGUGGAACAGUGGAAAUCUGCCUGUGAAACAGUAACGAGGUAGAUCUAAUUUCCCAUUUCUAGAAAUGAGUUAAAUAGCAAACAAAACUCACUUGUGGGCUAACCUCUAACUACAGCUGUGUGUUUCUAAUUAAUGAUAUUGUCUGUAUGGAUAGAUUAAUCCAGUCUGAUGUCUGUAACAUUCAGCAGAGCAGAUGUGCCGUUCUGUUCUCAUUAGAAAGAGGAGUGCUGUCAAGUCGAAAGAGGCAGUAUCUGUCGAGUUGGAGAAAAGUUUGCUUCCUUGGAUAAACUCCUAUUCUGAACAUGUGCUGCCCGUAUAAGGAUAAGGAUUGAGUUAGAUUAUAAUUGUAAUCAUACUCCAAUUACAUCUUCAUUAUUAAUCAAUUGGACAAUUGAUGUGUAAGAGCUCGGCCACACUCUUGAUACACCAAGACGAGAGAGAAAAACGGUUCGGUAGAUCAAAAGAGGCAAAAGGAGCUAGUGAGUGUUAGAGGAUGAACAUGCAAGCUGCCCUCAAGGCAAUGUGAAGUACGGUGUGCACGUGUGGAUUCCUCAGCACCUCAUCUCCAAAGAAGCAACGCAGAAUCGGGUCCUGUGCGCGUCUGGCACGACUCUCAGCGCGGGAAUUACUCCAGCAGCUGCCACAGGCGAUUUCAGCUUCCCUCUUGGCAGAUGCUCCUCCUAGGGUACACAGAGGUCGUUUGUGUCGGGUAUGGUGUGAUGGAAGAGCUAAGUUUUCGCUUUCGACGUGCCUGGGGUAUUGGAAGGCAGAAGAGGUUUUAUAGGGAAGGGCUUGGCUCAGGAAGUGGACAGGAUCUGACUCCCUGCUGAAACCCUGUCCUAGCCAGGUGCCUGGUUUCUCCAGUGUGCUGCUCUGAGUGAAGAAAAUCCUGUGUAGGCAUGGAGGGGGAGCAGCUAGGACGCUACCACUGGUGUGACUCUGCUGAAGUAUUUCGGCACUUGUCAGCUGUAGCUUCUGAGGCUGUCGUGGAGGUUAGCAGCAGAAGGGCUAACGAUGCAGAUUGCACGUACGGGUGUGCUCCGUGAAGGAAAUAACCCCGCAGUACUUACAGAGGUGUGCCCAUCCCUAAGCGGAGUUAACUAAGGGUUCAGGUGUAUGGCACCCUCACUCCGUCACUUCCUACUUGUUGUUGUACUUUUAUUUUCCUGGGAGAACUGGGACAGGCUGUGUCUCAAAUCGCUUCUGCCAUGGUUCCCUCUCUUUCCCAUUGGACUUUCUCUCUACAUGCUCACACAGAAAACCAGCAGUAAGAGUAAAUCGUGUGUAUUUAAGGGGGUAUGGUGCUCGCAGUAGGCUGAAUGCACCACUGGGGCUUGCAGCAGCCUGGUGGGUGCCACCUGCUGCCCCAGCCGGCCAUAGCACCCGUGAGCUGCCCGCUGCCUUGUCCAGCUCCGUGCUGCCUGCCCUGCCCUGUCCGAGUCCGGGAGGCAGGCAGGGGGUGCUGGGCAUCUUCCACCAGAGGUGAAACUCCACAUUCCUUAGCCAGGAAGUGUGGGAUCACGGAUAGCUGGGGCUGGCUUGCAUCAGGCCACGGUGGUUUGGGUGGGUUUGGGGGGAGGCUGUGGAAGCAGACUGUUUGGGGAGCUCUUCCGGGCUGCACUAGCUCCGCUUCGGUUUGUCCUGGAGUGCAUUCAAAUGUGGGGAUUGGGGUGGAAUUUUUUUACCAGAUCAACAUUUCAAAAAUCAGUCUGCUGUCCUGUGUACCUCAUUCAGUGGGAAUAACAUGGUUUGUUCCGUUACUUAGAAACACCACCUGCCUGAUCUGUUCCCUCUUCACAUGCUGGGGUCUGUCCUUAGUGAGACUGUGUAAAUUUGGGAAACUGAUACUGACAAACUGGCUCCAAAAACAGACAAACAAAAAAAUCCACAACUUUUUAAAAUGUUAAUACCAGGUAUAAAUUAUUUUUGUAUGCUUUCUAAGCACCCAUAGCUUCCUCCCUCCCAUCUCUGGAGUUAUUAGUAGCAUCAUCUGAUUGAAUAAGAAAUAAGCUUACUCUGGUGUCUGUGUAUGGAAGCUGACUAACCUCUUUCUUUGCUUUUGAACUUCUUCAUUUACUCCUGCCAGUGUUUGAUUUACAACAAAUGUUCCCAGCGUGCAUUUUGCCCCGUGAUGUUAAGAAUUUUCCUUCUCUAAGGCUGGCCGCAGUGGAUCAAAGUAACUGGGGACCUUGCAGCAGGCUGGCAUCAAGACCUGGCCCUCUGCUGGGAAAAGUAGGUCAGCUUCCCAUAAGCAGCUCAGGCAGGACAUCUAAAAUUGCACCAGCUCUGCCAGCAUUGUACUCAGAUGGGUCUGAGCUUCCACUUAAAGGGUGUGUGUGCUGUUACUGGAGCCUGAAUUGCUGCCAGGAGUGCUGUGCAUAACAGGUACGUUUGGCUGAACCUUUAACAACAGAGACAUUACAAGCCAGACAUUCUGUACAUAUGUACAUAAGGAAAAUUGUCAGGGAAUACUAUAUUGUUCAGUAGUUUUUCUGUCAGGGAAUAUUAAAUUGUUCAGUAGUUUUUCUACAGUGAAUCUAAAACAUGGAUCCGAUCCUGACCAACUAGAAAUGCUCUUUUUUGUGUGUCAGAGCCACAGGCUUUAUGGGAUAUCUUUCCUUUUUGAAGGGAUUAGGGUGUGACAGGAUGUUCAAAAGCAUGGCACUGUGUUAUUCUUACUCUGCCCCUUGCACAAGUUCUUUGUGUUAAUUCUUCACCUUGGGAGUUAAGCUAAGCUUUAAGCUUUUGGUACUUUCCAGAACGUGGUCAUCCCUAGUGCUAUUUCUACAACUCUUUCCUCAAGUUCAGUUGUAGAAAUACAAUUUGCUGAUAGCAUUUUGAAGCAGAAGGACUGUAUUCGAGUUUUAUUCCCCAGUCUCUUGGAUCCUAGAUCAGCAAUCCUCUUGAGAUCAGUUCCACACGAGUACAAUUAGAGCAGUUAGUAUGACACACAUUUGGAAAAUCAAAAAAUCUCAGACUAAAUUCUGCCGCUUGCCACCAGCAUUGCUGCAUCAGCUAUUGUGCAGGUGCAGGACCAGACCAUUUUCCCUGCAGUGUGUCAACAUGAUGUAGAUAGAUCUGCACUCAGUGGAAUUUUUCUUUGCAGAUAAAAAUGCUCCAAAAACUGAUGUUUGUAGGGAUGCAGUUGAAGGGAGAGUGAGGAAAAACUCAGGCAAGUGGACAGACUUGAGACUGGUUUUGAUCUUAAGUGGUGGAGAAAUAAAAGAACACUCUGCUCCAUCUAUUUUGGCUUUCUGUCUGGUUAUUCCAUUAGUAAUACCCGUUUCUUUAGAAUUUGGGAACACCCACAGCGGUGCUAGCACUGUGAUUCUGUUUGUUGCAUUAUGUUUCUGAAAGCCAUGUUAUUUUUGCUGUUUCAAUUCUGAAAGCUGCAGUUGGUGUUAGUGUUUGUGGCUGUCCAUGCAUGCAGGUUUCGCAGAUUCUGCGCUGUGUAUUGCACAGUGCCCUGCAGAGCUGGAACUGUUACGUGCUUUACAGUAGGCCCUGAGGACAUAAUCAGAGCUGGAACCUCUGGCAAAUACUUGCAAUACUUGCAGAUACAUCAGGGAGUAGAGAGGAGCGUGUAAGCAGAGGAGCAAUGUCUGAGGCACAACUGCACUUCUGUUCCCCUGCAAGUACUCCCUUUCCGGGCAUGUAGCGUGCAUUUCAAGACUUAGCAGAGGAACAGCAAUGAAGUCAAUAGUCACGUGUCUACAGUGCUGAGUGGCUUCUGAAAAGCCAGUUUUUCUUAGAAGGGAGUUUCUAGCUUUAGCUUUUCAAAGACAUUGUCAGGGUAAACACUAAGCACAGUGAAGAACUAAUGUGUGAUCUGUAUGAGCCAAGCGCUGGCCACAGCGUUCACCAUCUCCUUACAUUAAUGCCUUUGAGUUCAAAGCACUGAAUCCCCCUCAGAGGACACGAUGAGGAACAUCCUGAGCAGUGAAGAGGGAUGUUACAUAAUAGACCGGUGGUUUGGCAGGACCAUGUAGGAGAGUGGUUAGUGAGUGCAUAGAUUUACAGGCUGAAACCCUGCAGAACAGCUGCAGCAGUCCUUAGAGCAAAGUGGGGAUGUACAGUGGGAUUCAGGGGAACAGGUGCUUCCCAGAGUGAGUGGAUUAAAUAGAUCCAUCACUUCUCCCUGCACAUCAGGCCCCAGGUGGCCCCAGCUUUGUGUUGUGGUUGGUCUGCCCCAGUGUUUGCCAGCACCGUCCUUGGAAGCCGCGUGUUCAUGUGUCCUUCUCCUUCGGGACCUGCGAUAUAGGGGUCAUGCUGCCGGACAGCUUGCUCCACUGAAGGCACAGGAAAACUGCAACGUGUUUUUUCACUGAUGGCCACGAUUCCUGCAUGGCAGCCAGCUCUUGCAGUGGGAAGGUACCCGAGAUGUUGUUUUCGAUAGUGGCAUGUAGGUAGAACAGAGUAAUGAGAGCUGAGGUUGCUGUAUUGUACAGAGAUGUUGCACCACUGAGUUAAAGGCUGCUGUUCACAGAGCUGCACCUUUAGGGAGGAUGAUUCUAUUAAAUGCUUAGUUGAAAGGUAACUGGAUUGCUGGCUGCCUGAUGUCUCUACAAAAUACACGUCUUCCUUCAGAUUGGGAAAUGUACCUCUAGUGAGUGGUGAAUAGACACCUGUAUUAUUAUUAUUAUUAUUAUUAUUAUUAUUUAAUGUGCGCUAAUAGAUUUCAUGGUACAUAUACUCUGCUUAUUAAAUCUAAUAUACUGUAAAAAGGCUCCCAGGUAGGUCUACCCUCCAGGGUCAGGUAGGAAAUACUGCUACAGCAUAGGGUGCAGGUCAGUAGUGUCACAUUAGAGCUGUUUCAGGGGAUGUAACAAGGAUAUGAGACAUGUUUGAGAGGGAUUCUUGCGUGCUUUUCAGAGGGAUGGAAGGAAAGGCUGGGCCAUGAUCAUGCACAGAUGGCGAAUGAGCACGUGUGAAGGGGAGGAAUCAAGU
This is an RNA transcript of Cygnus olor (mute swan), 7742 nucleotides long. It is a transcript of the gene named Bardet-Biedl syndrome 12, with no coding region annotated. The record is from RefSeq and is a predicted model, not a curated record. NCBI's taxonomy places the organism in Eukaryota, Metazoa, Chordata, Aves, Anseriformes, Anatidae. The transcript has 7 exons.